UCGAGGGGCAGCGGGAGUACAAUACUUGCCGGCGACCGGCGCACGGGUGCGUAACACGUAUAUAAUCUACCUAAAACUGGAGGAUAGCCCGAAGAAAUUCGGAUUAAUACUCCAUAACAUUGCGAGAUGGCAUCAUUUUGCAAUUAAAGCUCCGGCGGUUUUGGAUGAGUAUGCGUUCGAUUAGCUAGUUGGUGAGGUAACGGCUCACCAAGGCGACGAUCGAUAGGGGUACUGAGAGGUUACACCCCCACACUGGUACUGAGACAUGGACCAGACUCCUACGGGAGGCAGCAGUAAGGAAUAUUGGACAAUGGUCGCAAGACUGAUCCAGCCAUGCCGCGUGCAGGAUGACUGCCCUAUGGGUUGUAAACUGCUUUUGUACGGGAAUAAACCCUUCUACGUGUAGAAGGCUGAAUGUACCGUAAGAAUAAGGAUCGGCUAUCUUCGUGCCAGCAGCCGCGGUAAGACGAAGGAUCCAAGCGUUAUCCGGAUUUAUUGGGUUUAAAGGGUGCGUAGGCGGAUUGAUAAGUCAGUGGUGAAAGCCUGUUGCUUAACAACAGAACUGCCAUUGAUACUGUCAAUCUUGAAUAUGUUUGAUGUGGGCGGAAUAUGACAUGUAGCGGUGAAAUGCUUAGAUAUGCGGAGGAACACCGAUGGCGAAGGCAAUCCCCUGGGCCUGCACUGACGCUCAUGCACGAAAGCGUGGGGAGCAAACAGGAUUAGAUACCCUGGUAGUCCACGCCCUAAACGAUGUCAACUGGUUGUUGGGUCUUCACUGACUCAGUAACGAAGCUAACGCGUGAAGU
RNAcentral lists this ribosomal RNA (806 nucleotides) under uncultured bacterium. RNAcentral describes it as "bacterial SSU rRNA". It matches the Rfam family "Bacterial small subunit ribosomal RNA", at positions 62 to 865 of the family's 1533-position model. The record is from RNAcentral.